AGUGGUAGCGCAGCACCACGCUCUGCGACAGGCUGACGUGGAACUCCUCCAUGGCGGUGACGGACGGGACGUAGGUGCGGGCGUGGGACGCCAGCAGCUCCAGCAGCUCCAGGAACUCCUCCUGGGCCUGGUCUGCGGGGCGCGCAGAACGGCUGAGGUUGGAGGGGGCCGUCCAGCCCGCCGAGCUCCGAGCCCCCUGCAGGCCGCCCGCCCCCAGCCCGGGCCGCCCGGCGCCCACCCGCGUCCCGGGGCAGCCGCGCGGAUGUGGCGCCCCCGGCUCCGCGCGCCCUCCCGCGGCGAGGCGUCAGCGCUGCCGCACGGCGCCCCGCAGCCCCAGGCCCGGCCCCGCGGCUCACGCACAGGGCAGGUACACGUGCGUGGCCCAGCCGCCCCGCUCGUGGGGGAAGCACCGCACGCGGCCGCCGUGCCGGGAGCUGUCGUCCCGCUUCUCGUCCCGCUCCUCCUCGCGGAACAUGGCCAGCACGCACUCGGGGACGGGCAGGCGGCGGCUGCCCCGCGUCCCCCCCCGUCCUUCCUCCUCCUCCUCCUCCUCCUCAUCCUCGGAGCUGCUGUACCCCACGAGCGCGGCGCUCAUGGCGGCGCUGCGCUGCGGGCUCG
RNAcentral lists this long non-coding RNA (618 nucleotides) under Gallus gallus (chicken). The record is from RNAcentral. Lineage: Eukaryota; Metazoa; Chordata; Aves; Galliformes; Phasianidae.